RNAcentral lists this ribosomal RNA (323 nucleotides) under uncultured Pseudomonadota bacterium. RNAcentral's name for it is "bacterial SSU rRNA". It matches the Rfam family "Bacterial small subunit ribosomal RNA", at positions 30 to 351 of the family's 1533-position model. The record is from RNAcentral. Lineage: Bacteria; Pseudomonadati; Pseudomonadota.
AUUGAACGCUGGCGGCAUGCCUUACACAUGCAAGUCGAACGGCAGCACGGGAGCAAUCCUGGUGGCGAGUGGCGAACGGGUGAGUAAUAUAUCGGAACGUGCCCAGUCGUGGGGGAUAACGCAGCGAAAGCUGUGCUAAUACCGCAUACGAUCUCUGGAUGAAAGCGGGGGAUUCGCAAGGACCUCGCGCGAUUGGAGUGGCCGAUAUCAGAUUAGCUAGUUGGUGGGGUAAAAGCCUACCAAGGCGACGAUCUGUAGCUGGUCUGAGAGGACGACCAGCCACACUGGAACUGAGACACGGUCCAGACUCCUACGGGAGGCAG